CCCUUAGAUGUUCUGGGCCGCACGCGUGCUACACUGAGUAAUUCAAUGGGUAAGGGAACGCUAGAGCAUUACCUAAUCUUGAAAUUUGCUCGUGAUGGGGAUCGACGGUUGCAAUUUUCCGUCGGGAACGAGGAAUACCUUGUAGGCGCAUGUCAUCAUCAUGCGCCGAAUACGUCCCUGCCCUUUGUACACACCGCCCGUCGCUCCUACCGAUUGAGUGAUCCGGUGAGGCUCUGGGACCUGGACGGAAAGAGCGUUUCGCUUGUUCUGUUUGGGAAACUUGGUCGAACCUUAUCAUUUAGAGGAAGGAGAAGUCGUAACA
RNAcentral lists this ribosomal RNA (322 nucleotides) under uncultured eukaryote. Its description in RNAcentral is "partial 18S ribosomal RNA". It matches the Rfam family "Eukaryotic small subunit ribosomal RNA", at positions 1470 to 1796 of the family's 1831-position model. The record is from RNAcentral.